This 436-nucleotide ribosomal RNA is filed under the name Candidatus Nomurabacteria bacterium RIFCSPHIGHO2_02_FULL_41_150. Its description in RNAcentral is "bacterial SSU rRNA". It matches the Rfam family "Bacterial small subunit ribosomal RNA", at positions 1042 to 1390 of the family's 1533-position model. Lineage: Bacteria; Candidatus Nomuraibacteriota. The record is from RNAcentral.
UGCAUGGCCGUCGUCAGUUCGUGGUUUGAAUUGUACCCUUAAGUGGGCUAACGAACGCAACCCUCGUUGUGUGUUACAAGUGUCACACGAGACCGCCCGUCCCAGUGCCGAGGUUGACUUGUUUGGAACGCGUCCCAGUACCGAUAUUGAAUUUCAAUUUCGGCAAUGGGAUUUGCUUUUAGACGCGUCAACGUCGGUAGCGGGACGGGAGGAAGGAGAGGAUGACGCCAGGUCAGCAUGUCCCUUUGAUAUCCUGGGCUACACACAUAAUACAAUGGCGACUACAACGCGUAGCGACGGGGCGACCCUGAGCUAAUCGUCCAAAAGUGGCCUCGGUUCGGAUUGAAGUCUGCAACUCGACUUCAUGAAGCUGGAAUUGCUAGUAAUCGCAGGUCAGCUAAACUGCGGUGAAUACGUUCUCAAGUCUUGUACUCAC